This 7867-nucleotide long non-coding RNA is filed under the name Capsella rubella. Its description in RNAcentral is "long non-coding RNA (CRUB_LNC002711)". The record is from RNAcentral. Lineage: Eukaryota; Viridiplantae; Streptophyta; Magnoliopsida; Brassicales; Brassicaceae.
CUCUUAGAAGCACGAUGCCACGCUGGCAUCUUGUUGACAGCGCAACACUUCGAUCGUGAUGAGAAGCAGCACGUUUGGUGCCCAACGUUGGUAACGAAGUCAAAGGGCAGGAGUGACAGCUACAGCAAAAAGCAUGUAAAGUUGUCAGACAAAAGGUGGUUGUUGUUGGCUAGUGGGAAGCUAGUGAAGUCAACAUCAUGACAAGAAGCUGCGCAGUGUCCGCUGGAUAAAGAGAGGACCUGCGAGUUGUUUUGUUGCCUAUAUAAGAAGAGAGCUUUCUUCUUAUUAGGGUUAGCACUUUAAGAAGAAAAAGUGUGAGAGUUCUUUGUGUUCAUAUCUGAGUUUUAAACGAAGAAUCGUUGUGGGUUCUUUUGGUGAGUGAACAAAAGAGUGUGCAUAGCUGUUGCUGUGCUUGUAAGCUGGGUAGAUUAGGAAUCGAUCAGGGCCAAAUCACAGUGUGUGAUGUUGGUUAACUCUGAUCAAACAAGCUUGUAAAAGAGUUGUUUGAAGAUUGCUAAUAAAACUAAGUUUGAAGAAAUUUUUGUAUCUGUGUAGUACUUUCAAGGUUCUAGUUCUCUCAAUUGGUAUCAAAGCGGGAAACCGAUCUGUGAGACUUUCUCGUCUCCAAACAGGUUAGAUCCUGAACUAUGGAACCUACUACUGUUGGUGCAGGAACAAGCAAGAACAUCAUUCUGGAUACAAGAAGAUAUGGGUACUGGAAAGUUAGGAUGACACAACUCAUCAGAGGUCAAGUUGAAGAAACAUGGACUGCUGUAGAAAAAGGUUGGGAACCUUCGUUCGAGUCAACUGCUGAAAGGAACAACCAUAGAGAUAAAGCUGAAGAUGAUCGCCUAAGCAUUGUAGUCUUUACUGCCAAAAUUGACAAACUGCAAGAUUCUGAUACUGAUUCAGACAGAAAUGAUGAAGUGAAUCCUAAAAAGGAAUACAGGACGCUCUAUGACAGUUGGAUGCAACUGAGUCAAGACAAGCUUAAACUUCUGGAAGAAAAGCUGAGUCUUGAAGCCAAAAUCACUAGUGCCUAUGAAGAAAAAAAUCGUCCUCCCACUCCUACCUUAAGUUGUGAUAAGUUCACUCAGGACUUGUUCAAGAAAGCUGAAGAUCUUCACAUCUAUCUUAACAAAGAAAGGAUAGAGCAACCAUGCUAGAACGAGAGCUUAACGACAAGCAUAAGCAUAUCAGAAUGUUGAACAGUGCGUCGGGCGACCUGAAUAACAUUCUGAAAAGGCCUGAGCAUCAAGGAUUAGGAUACCAAGAAGGUCAAGAACAGUGCAACAAAAGGUCUGUGAAGUUUACCAGUGGAGGGAUGCUAGAAGAAACAGUGGAUAAUCAACAGUCUGGCAUUGAUAACUUGGUGAAACUUAGUACUGUGAAAAGAAAAGACAAUACUAAAAGUUACUCUACGAGAAGAGUGUUCAACAGAAGGUUUUAUGGAUGUGGUCACUGUGGAAGAAAAGGUCAUCAAAGGAGCAGAUGCUACAAGUUCAAGGAAAGAGUCUGUCUUCUAUGGACUCUGAACAGAGGAUACUUAGAACCAACCAAGUUCUGUCACAUGUGGGUGUCAAAGAAAGAUCUCUAUGGAGACAUGCAGAGUGAAGUGUCUAACAAACAUCUUCAAGACAUGUACGAUACAGAAGAGGCAGUCUACAACAGUUGUGAAAGUGAAGUCACUAUAGAGCAUCUGAAGGAGAAGACAGGAGAUGUCCAAAACUUGAACUGCACCCUCGUGUGUACAGAACCCACAGUUGCAGCUAUGCAUGCCCAUGUUGCGUAUACCUCUGCGGCUACUCCGGAUGGUAAUUCGUGGUAUUUUGACAGUGGUUGCUCUAGACACAUGACCGGAGAUCGAAAUACUCUUGACGACUACACAAAUGUGUCAAGUGGAAAAGUCACCUUCGGGGAUGGCGGUAAGGGCAACAUAAAAGGAAAGGGUUUGAUUUCAAAAUCAAAUCAACCUCAAUUGGAAAAUGUCUACUUUGUUGAGGGAUUAAAGGCUAACUUGAUCAGCAUCAGUCAGCUCUGCGAUGAUGGCUUGAAAGUUUCUUUUACUAAGAUUAACUGUAGUGCCUGUGAUGAAAAUGAUAAUGAAGUGCUUUCAGGUGUGCGAUCAGAAAAUAAUUGCUAUAUGUGGAAGAAGUCUGAAACGUGUCUGUCGGCAACAACGUAUAAAUUAGAUCUGUGGCAUAGACGUCUGGGACAUAUUAACACACAGAGUUUGAUCAAGAUUGUGAAUGCAGAAGUGGUUAGAGGAAUUCCCAAGCUGGAAGGAAAAUCUGAUGCAGUUUGUGAGGCAUGUAGCAAGGGAAAGCAGAUCAAAGUUCAACACAAGAAAACAGCUAAUAUUGGAACAAAGAAAAUUCUUGAGCUUGUCCACAUGGACCUCAUGGGACCAAUGCAAACAGAAAGCCUGAAUGGGAAAAGGUAUGCCUUUGUUUUAGUUGAUGAUUUUUCAAGGUACACAUGGGUUAGAUUUUUAAGAGAAAAAUCAUAAGCAGUUGAAAGUUUUAGGAUUCUGGCUCUUCAGCUGCAAACUGAAAAGGGAAGCAUUGUCCAAAUCCGAAGUGAUCAUGGUGGUGAGUUUCAAAAUGAGGAGUUUGAAAAGUUCUGUAACCUACAAGGCAUCAGACAUCAAUAUUCUGCCCCAAGAACGCCACAACAGAAUGGAAUUGUUGAAAGGAAAAACAGAACUCUUCAAGAAAUGGCAAGGGCAAUGAUUCAUGGAAACAAUGUGUCACCUAGGUUCUGGGCUGAAGCAAUUAACACAGCCUGUUACAUCAUCAAUCGGGUUUAUGUUAAACCAAAAACGAGCACUACUCCUUACGAAAUUUGGAAAGGAAAGACACCAAAUCUGUGCUACUUUCAUACCUUUGGAUGCAUAUGCUACAUUCUAAAUGAUAAAGAUCAUCUUGGAAAAUUUGAUGCAAGGAGUGAUGAAGGGAUCUUUCUAGGAUAUGCAACAAAUAGCAUGGCUUACAGAGUGUAUAAUAAACGUCUUAAGAGAGUAGAGGAAUCUGUCAAUAUCGUGUUUGAUGACAGAAGUCCAACACAGUUGUUUCCAGUUGCUGUAGAUGAUGAAAAUCCUAAUGAGGAGGCUACUCAGGAAAAACCAGAAGAAGACCAAGAAAGGAUAAGUAACGAUAAUCAAGGUGAAACAUCAGAAACAGUGGGUGAAACUGCAAACACUCCGUUAAAAGUACCAAGACAUCACUCUGAAUCGGAUGUUAUUGGACACUUGAGAGGUGAUCGUACUACUCGGGGAGUCCAGAUUAACUUCAGAGAAAUGCUUCAACACUCAUGCUUUGUGUCUGUUAUGGAGCCCAAAGAUGUGUUUGCAGCUCUUGAAGAUGAGUUUUGGUUCUCAGCUUGUCAUGAAGAGUUAAACCAGUUUACCCGACAUGACGUGUGGAAUCUUGUUCCAAGACCUACUCACAUAAAUGUCGUGGGAACGAAAUGGAUUUUCAAGAACAAGAUUGAUGAAAAUGGAAAUGUAACAAGGAAUCGAGCAAGAUUGGUUGCUCAAGGAUAUUCACAGGUUGAAGGAGUAGACUUUGAUGAGACAUUUGCUCCUGUAGCUCGUCUAGAAUCUAUUCGGCUGCUUCUUGGUAUGGCAUUUCUUCUAAACAUCAAGAUGUUUCAAAUGGAUGUAAAGAGUGCUUUUCUAAAUGGAUUGAUCCAAGAAGAAGUCUACGUCUCUCAACCUAAAGGAUUUGAAGAUCCAAACUUUCCAGAUCAUGUCUACAAGCUGAAGAAAGCUCUCUAUGGAUUAAAGCAGGCUCCUCGUACUUGGUAUGAACGUCUUACUGAGUUUCUGGUUGAAAAUGGGUUCAAGCGUGGGAGUGUUGACAAAACCCUGUUUGUCUAUGAAGAAGGUGUGGACAUUCUUAUUGUCCAAAUAUAUGUUGAUGAUAUUGUGUUUGGAAGCACAAGAAAAGAAUUGGUGAAUACCUUUGUAAAGGUUAUGACAAAGGAAUUUGAGAUGAGUAUGGUUGGAGAAAUGAACUACUUUCUGGGUCUGCAAAUCAAACAGACAGAUGAUGGGAUUCAUAUAUCUCAGGGAAACUAUGCCAAGAGCUUAAUUCAAAGAUUUGGAAUGCAGACUAGCAAGACGUCCAGAACACCAAUGAGCUCCACUGUGAAACUAUCCAAAGAUGAAUCGGGACAGAAAGUUGAUGAAAAACUAUAUCGGGCUAUGAUUGGAAGUCUUCUGUAUCUCACUGCAAGCAGACCUGAUCUGUGCUUCAGCGUGGGAGUCUGUGCAAGAUAUCAGGCCGAUCCAAGAUUGUCUCAUCUGAACGCUGUUAAGAGGAUCAUCAAAUAUGUGAAAGGUACCACUGACCGAGGGUUGUAUUAUACUAAGCAAACUAAUCCGAAUCUUGCUGGUUUUUGUGACUCAGAUUGGGCAGGUAAUCUGGAUGAUAGAAGAAGUACCUCAGGCGGAUGCUUCUUUCUGGGAAAUAACCUCAUAUCCUGGCACAGUAAGAAGCAAAGCUGUGUAACCUUGUCAACAGCUGAAGCUGAAUACAUUGCCCUAGGAAGUUGCUGCACGCAAUUAAUGUGGAUGAAACAAAUGCUAUCUGACUAUGGUAUUGUUUCCUCAACCUUAUUUGUGUAUUGUGACAACAUGAGUGCUAUAAAUAUUUCAAAAAAUCCUGUCCAACACUCUCGUACAAAACAUAUUGACAUUAGACAUCAUUUCGUUAGAGAACUUGUUGAGAACAAAGUGAUAGAGAUCUCUCAUGUAUCCUCAGAAAAACAACUUGCUGAUAUGUUCACUAAACCAUUAGAUUUAAACAGUUUUGUAAAUCUGCAAAAAUCUAUUGGAUUGUGUGAUCACUAAUGAUUCUUGUCUUUAAGGCGUAUGCAACAGGUUCCUCUGUACAGGGUUGCAUAGCUUUGUGUCUGUAUUUUAAACAAAAAAAAAAAAAAAACUUUCAGCAAAUCUUCUCAGGAAAACAGCUGCUUCGCAUACUACUUGUCGAAGAAGUCCGAUACGGAUGUGUAGUGGCUGCAAGAAAAAGAAAAUCUCCAGAAAAGUGUAGGCAGGAAAGGGGUGAUACUUCUUUCUAUCUUCAAAGGUACAUCGUGUGUAUAUAUAUACUUUAUCAAAAAAAAAAAAAAAAGAAAAGUAAAAGUUAAAGGAUCCCUCUUCUCUCUGCUCAUAUCACCCCCCUCGCCGUGAGAGCAGCUCCUACACAUCUUGAGGAUGAAAUCUAAAGAAGUAUGCUAAGUGUAGACUAGCCUGAAGAGAUCAAUGUGUAUGUUUCAUCUCAUUGGGCUGCAAAGACUUUGUCUUCCAAGUAACUCAAGAACGUAAACAGCUAUGCACCUCUGUCCAAAGGAAUCUUUACAUAUAGUCUGGGAAUUGAACUCAGGUGUGUAUCAUCAAUCCUUGAGAUUUUGUUGUUUACAUUUCCUGUCAGUGUAUCUCCUAGGCUGUCUCUGGUGGUUAUUUUGUCUCAGUUCUUAUCUGCAUAAGUAUUUAUGUAUUUUGUAUCUCGUGUUGGGCCAUGGUUGGGCCUAUCUGUGGGCCUAAUUGGUUCUGUGUGGAUUUGAUCUGUUUGUUGAGUACUGUUCAGGCACACUAGGGUUGCAACUUAUAAGGACAUCAUCUAUAUCCUUUGCUCCCAUUCUCCACAACAAUUAAAGCGGCUACUUCUUUCAGAUCUGAUAAUCUUUUUGGUCAUCUGCAAACAUGUCCCAACCAAACGAUGGAUCUCGACCAGGUCAAUCGCAACUGUCCUCUGCUCAUCCUACUUCCGCUGCAACGACAAGUCAUGCGAUUCCUUCUCUUUUCUCGGGUGCCAAAUCUGGUGCACCUCCUGCAAAGAAAUCAAGAUCCAAAGUCGUUUCUCCUUCCCCAGAAGUCUAUCCUGCUCUUACUCGGUUUUUGCGCCGUCUUUCCUCCGCUCAAGUUCCCCUUUCGUAUUCUGCAUGUCUUCCUGAAGUUUCAGAAGCCCAAGUUCCGUUAGGACAACUUCAUCUCUCUGAUGAUACUACUGAGUCAUCUCCUCCACCGGAAUUCCUCAACCGGUACAUCUUGCAACGACGUCGCAUCGCCGAUCUGAUUAGACGGUUUCCUGAAUUAAACAGACCAGCCACUCCCAUUUUCUCGUCUCGGUUUAUCUCUGCUCAAGCUGCAGAGCGAUUCCAGUUUCUCCAUGGUCAAGCCUUCAUUCCCAUGAAGAUUCUAUCGGCUGAAAUACAAAAUGAUGAUGUUCGUUCCAUCCUGUUCAGGGCAGACCUUCUUCCAACAGUUACUGAGAUUGACAGUUUCAUCGAAACGAUGGUCAAGGAAUUCUAUGCCAAUCUUCCGGAGGCUGAAGGUAGGGACUCUGAGGUUCUCAGAGUCUUUGUUAGAGGGUCCAUGUAUGAGUUCUCACCGUCUCUCAUCAAUCGCCUCUUCCAACUGCCAAAUGAGCCAUAUCCUUUGAAUACAUCUCAACUUCGGGCCUUCGGAGAUCUUGAUGCUGUGGCUGCUCUCCUUACUGAUGGGCAAGUGUCAACUGUGGCUGAAGUGUCAACCGGUCUUCUUGGCGAUAUCAUCACUGUUCUUCAUCAAAUCAGCUGCUUCAACUGGUUACCUUCCACGAAUCAUCGUGCUCUGUCCCCUGACAGAUGUGUUCUUCUCUACUUAAUUGCCAAAGGGGAGCGCUUAAACUUUGGAAAGAUCGUGUUUGAUGAGAUUCGCUCGUGUGCAUCUCGCUCGGGUGCUGCCUCAUCGACUGAUUGUUUAAUCUUCCCCAACCUGAUUGAUCAGCUGUUACGUUUUCAGCGGGUCAUUCCAUCUCUGACUGGUGAUGUCUUGUCCUCUACUCCUACAAUGUUUGUGACCCCGGAAGCGACUGCGCCUACUUCUGGUCCCUCACUGACCUUGGCUGCUGAUCUUGCUCAUCUAGCCCACUCUGCUACGACCAUCAUGCAACGAUUCUCAAGUAAGUCCUUCUUGUUCUUAGUCUACUUCUCUGUUUCACACCUGUUUUUUAUAUGAGUCUGUGCACUCAAGCAGGGGGAGAAUAUGUUGAUGUCUGUGCUCGUAAACUUAAGGAGCACACAGAAAGCGACAACCUUGAUACUGCGGAUAGUGACUAGUUUGUUCAGUAGAUCUUCUGUUUAGGGGGAGUAGUGAGUUGUAUUUGAUGAUUUUAGAAUUAUCCAUGUUUAAGUAUAUUUGAAACAUGUGCUUGUUUCAAAUGAUUGUAUGUGCUGAACCUUGUCCUCUUAAUCUAUCCUUCUCUAAGUCCUCUGGAUCAAUUUGGAACGAAACUGUUGUAUUUUGUAUUGCCUUUGCUGCGUGUGUCUGUUUGUUCGUGUGCAGGUAGCUUGAGGCACAUACUCAGACAAAAAGGGGGAGAUUGAAGAAACAGAGUGUCUGAAGGACCAACAGUUGCAGAACCUGAAAAAUGCUCAGAAGGACUCUUAGAAGCACGAUGCCACGCUGGCAUCUUGUUGACAACGCAACACUUCGAUCGUGAUGAGAAGCAGCACGUUUGGUGCCCAACGUUGGUAACGAAGUCAAAGGGCAAAAGUGACAGCUACAGCAAAAAGCAUGUAAAGUUGUCAGACAAAAGGUGGUUGUUGUUGGCUAGUGGGAAGCUAGUGAAGUCAACAUCAUGACAAGAAGCUGCGCAGUGUCCGCUGGAUAAAGAGAGGACCUGCGAGUUGUUUUGUUGCCUAUAUAAGAAGAGAGCUUUCUUCUUAUUAGGGUUAGCACUUUAAGAAAAAAAAGUGUGAGAGUUCUUUGUGUUCAUAUCUGAGUUUUAAACGAAGAAUCGUUGUGGGUUCUUUUGGUGAGUGAACAAAAGAGUGUGCAUAGCUGUUGCUGUGCUUGUAAACUGGGUAGAUUAGGAAU